This 223-nucleotide ribosomal RNA is filed under the name uncultured soil bacterium. RNAcentral's name for it is "partial 16S ribosomal RNA". It matches the Rfam family "Bacterial small subunit ribosomal RNA", at positions 25 to 247 of the family's 1533-position model. The record is from RNAcentral.
CAGGACGAACGCUGGCGGCGCGCCUAAUACAUGCAAGUCGAGCGAGAACCAGGGCUUCGGCCCUGGGGAGAGCGGCGAACGGGUGCGUAUCACGUGAGCAACCUGCCUCGGAGACCGGAAUAACUCGAGGAAACUCGGGCUAAUGCCGGAUGCCCUCGGUGGACCGCAUGGUCCGGCGAGGAAAUGGAUUCCGCUCCGAGAUGGGCUCGCGGCCUAUCAGCUU